Molecule: ribosomal RNA, 453 nt
Filed under: uncultured bacterium
Lineage: Bacteria
Description: bacterial SSU rRNA
Rfam family: Bacterial small subunit ribosomal RNA
Source: RNAcentral
UACGGAAGGCAGCAGUGGGGAAUAUUGCACAAUGGGCGCAAGCCUGAUGCAGCCAUGCCGCGUGUAUGAAGAAGGCCUUCGGGUUGUAAAGUACUUUCAGUCGUGAGGAAGGUGUUAAGGUUAAUAACCUUAGCAAUUGACGUUAGCGACAGAAGAAGCACCGGCUAACUCCGUGCCAGCAGCCGCGGUAAUACGGAGGGUGCGAGCGUUAAUCGGAAUUACUGGGCGUAAAGGGCACGCAGGCGGUUAAUUAAGUUGGAUGUGAAAUCCCCGGGCUUAACCUGGGAAUGGCAUUCAAGACUGGUUAGCUAGAGUCUUGUAGAGGGGGUGAAAUUCCAUGUGUAGCGGUGAAAUGCGUAGAGAUGUGGAGGAAUACCGGUGGCGAAGGCGGCCCCUGGACAAAGACUGACGCUCAUGUGCGAAAGCGUGGGGAGCAAACAGGGAUUAGAUACC